AGUGAACGCUGGCGGUAGGCCUAACACAUGCAAGUCGAACGGCAGCACAGUAAGAGCUUGCUCUUACGGGUGGCGAGUGGCGGACGGGUGAGGAAUACAUCGGAAUCUACUUUUUCGUGGGGGAUAACGUAGGGAAACUUACGCUAAUACCGCAUACGACCCACGGGUGAAAGCAGGGGAUCUUCGGACCUUGUGCGAUUGAAUGAGCCGAUGUCGGAUUAGCUAGUUGGCGGGGUAAAGGCCCACCAAGGCGACGAUACGUAGCUGGUCUGAGAGGAUGAUCAGCCACACUGGAACUGAGACACGGUCCAGACUCCUACGGGAGGCAGCAGUGGGGAAUAUUGGACAAUGGGCGCAAGCCUGAUCCAGCCAUACCGCGUGGGUGAAGAAGGCCUUCGGGUUGUAAAGCCCUUUUGUUGGGAAAGAAAAGCAGCAGGUUAAUACCCCGCUGUUCUGACGGUACCCAAAGAAUAAGCACCGGCUAACUUCGUG
This 492-nucleotide ribosomal RNA is filed under the name uncultured bacterium. RNAcentral's name for it is "partial 16S ribosomal RNA". It matches the Rfam family "Bacterial small subunit ribosomal RNA", at positions 29 to 507 of the family's 1533-position model. The record is from RNAcentral.